RNAcentral lists this ribosomal RNA (492 nucleotides) under uncultured bacterium. RNAcentral describes it as "partial 16S ribosomal RNA". It matches the Rfam family "Bacterial small subunit ribosomal RNA", at positions 29 to 507 of the family's 1533-position model. The record is from RNAcentral.
AGUGAACGCUGGCGGUAGGCCUAAUACAUGCAAGUCGAACGGCAGCACAGUAAGAGCUUGCUCUUACGGGUGGCGAGUGGCGGACGGGUGAGGAAUACAUCGGAAUCUACUUUUUCGUGGGGGAUAACGUAGGGAAACUUACGCUAAUACCGCAUACUACCUACGGGUGAAAGCAGGGGAUCUUCGGACCUUGCGCGAUUGAAUGAGCCGAUGUCGGAUUAGCUAGUUGGCGAGGUAAAGGCCCACCAAGGCGACGAUCCGUAGCUGGUCUGAGAGGAUGAUCAGCCACACUGGAACUGAGACACGGUCCAGACUCCUACGGGAGGCAGCAGUGGGGAAUAUUGGACAAUGGGCGCAAGCCUGAUCCAGCAAUACCGCGUGGGUGAAGAAGGCCUUCGGGUUGUAAAGCCCUUUUGUUGGGAAAGAAAAGCAGCAGGUUAAUACGCCGCUGUUCUGACGGUACCCAAAGAGUAAGCACCGGCUAACUUCGUG